UGGAAUCCCAAGUUGUAUGUGAUGGGUUCCCCCUGGGGUGCCACUGAGCCCCCUGGCCCACCAGCCUGGGCUCCCUCUCACACUAUACUGCUGUGACAAACUGCAAAGCCCUCAAUCCUGCACUUUCAUCAGCAUACAUACAGGUAGGGACACAACCAUCCGCAGUUACAUGCAGGCUCUCUAACAACCAGCUUCCGAGACUGGGACCUCAGAGCAGUACCAUCCUGCCCUGGGCAAAUCUGAUCAGUAUAUGGGUUUAAUACAUAGUCCGCCUCUCACUCAAUAUGAAGAGAACAAUGCACGCUUGUGGUAACCAAGCAGAGAUUUUCCCCAAGCACUCCAGUCAAAACUCACUGGUUUAGAUUAAAACAAAAACAAGUUUAUUAACUACAAAAGAUCGAUUUUAAGUGGUUAUAAAGGAUAGCAAACAGAUCAAAGUAGAUUACCUAGGAAAUAAAAAAAACACAAACUAAGUUUAAUAUACUAGAUAGAUAGGAUAUGAAUUGGCAGAUUCUCACACUAAGAGAUUAUAUAAGCAGGCUGCAGAUUCUUAAGGGGCAUGCUUCACUUGCCUUACAGCUUGGAAUCCCCAGGUGUUUUGUACACAGGCU
Molecule: long non-coding RNA, 611 nt
Organism: Dermochelys coriacea (leatherback sea turtle)
Lineage: Eukaryota; Metazoa; Chordata; Testudines; Dermochelyidae
Exons: 3
Source: RefSeq, a predicted model, not a curated record